ACCGACCAUUUCACGAGAAAAGAAAGCUCGAGUUUAUCAUUUUCAUCUCGGUUUUAUUGUACAAAUUUGAGGGAUAAUGGACCAGAAGAAGAAAAAAAGAAAGUUAGGAAGGAGGUGGUGGUGGGAAUAAACUACAAGGGCCAUAACAAUUACAGAAGAAGGUGCCCGUAGCACAAACUCCAUAGCAUUCGUUCUCUUUGUGUCCGAAUUUCUUGCAGUCUUUCUUACAUGUUUUGUCACAGUUUGCAGGCCCACAGUUUUGCACCACAAAAUUCUCCGUCAAGCAUGUUUCCGGUGGCGGUGGUGAUGGUGGCCCUCCCGCCGCCUCCACUACCAUCACAUCAGACACUGCAUAUAUCUCACAAACGAUAUCAUAUUUAGUAUCAAACUAUUCAAAUGGGAUCUGCAUGCAAUAACAAUAAGGAUGACAAUUCCAUACCAUUGAUGAGAAGGAGAGAAGCCAAUACUACCAAACCAAUAGCUACUAGUCUUAUAGUUCUUGCCAUCCUCAAUUAUCUGAUGAAUUAGACUGUAUAACUUGCCGUGAUCAC
Molecule: long non-coding RNA, 551 nt
Filed under: Linum usitatissimum (flax)
Lineage: Eukaryota; Viridiplantae; Streptophyta; Magnoliopsida; Malpighiales; Linaceae
Description: long non-coding RNA (LUSI_LNC005245)
Source: RNAcentral